Molecule: ribosomal RNA, 287 nt
Filed under: uncultured cyanobacterium
Lineage: Bacteria; Bacillati; Cyanobacteriota
Description: partial 16S ribosomal RNA
Rfam family: Bacterial small subunit ribosomal RNA
Source: RNAcentral
UUUUCUCUGGGAAGAAAGUUGUGAAAGCAGCCUGACGGUACCAGAGGAAUCAGCAUCGGCUAACUCCGUGCCAGCAGCCGCGGUAAGACGGAGGAUGCAAGCGUUAUCCGGAAUGAUUGGGCGUAAAGCGUCCGCAGGUGGCAGUUCAAGUCUGCUGUCAAAGACCGGGGCUCAACCUCGGAAAGGCAGUGGAAACUGAACAGCUAGAGUAUGGUAGGGGCAAAGGGAAUUCCUGGUGUAGCGGUGAAAUGCGUAGAGAUCAGGAAGAACAUCGGUGGCGAAGGCGC